GACGAACGCUGGCGGCGUGCUUAACACAUGCAAGUCGAACGGAAAGGCCCUGCUUUUGUGGGGUGCUCGAGUGGCGAACGGGUGAGUAACACGUGAGUAACCUGCCCUUGACUUUGGGAUAACUUCAGGAAACUGGGGCUAAUACCGGAUAGGAGCUCCUGCUGCAUGGUGGGGGUUGGAAAGUUUCGGCGGUUGGGGAUGGACUCGCGGCUUAUCAGCUUGUUGGUGGGGUAGUGGCUUACCAAGGCUUUGACGGGUAGCCGGCCUGAGAGGGUGACCGGCCACAUCGGGACUGAGAUACGGCCCAGACUCCUACGGGACGCAGCAGUGGGGAAUAUUGCACGAUGGGCGGAAGCCUGAUGCAGCAACGCCGCGUGCGGGAUGACGGCCUUCGGGUUGUAAACCGCUUUCGCAUGUGACGAAGCGUGAGUGACGGUAAUGGGUAAAGAAGCACCGGCUAACUACGUG
This 468-nucleotide ribosomal RNA is filed under the name uncultured bacterium. RNAcentral's name for it is "partial 16S ribosomal RNA". It matches the Rfam family "Bacterial small subunit ribosomal RNA", at positions 28 to 507 of the family's 1533-position model. The record is from RNAcentral.